GAUGAAGAACGUAGCGAAAUGCGAUAAGUAAUGUGAAUUGCAGAAUUCAGUGAAUCAUCGAGUCUUUGAACGCACAUUGCGCCCCCUGGUAUUCCGGGGGGCAUGCCUGUCCGAGCGUCAUUGCUGCCCUCAAGCACGGCUUGUGUGUUGGGCCCCCGUCCCCGGUUCUCCCCGGGGACGGGCCCGAAAGGCAGCGGCGGCACCGCGUCCGAUCCUCGAGCGUAUGGGGCUUUGUCACCCGCUCUGUAGGCCCGGCCGGCGCCAGCCGACACCCCAACUUUAUUUUCUAAGGUUGACCUCGGAUCAGGUAGGGAUACCCGCUGAACUUAAGCAUAUCAAUAAGCGAGGA
Molecule: unclassified non-coding RNA, 349 nt
Filed under: soil metagenome
Description: partial contains 5.8S ribosomal RNA, internal transcribed spacer 2, and large subunit ribosomal RNA
Rfam family: 5.8S ribosomal RNA (bases 1-120)
Source: RNAcentral